This 72-nucleotide transfer RNA is filed under the name Fukomys damarensis (Damara mole-rat). It matches the Rfam family "tRNA". From Rfam's summary of the family: Transfer RNA (tRNA) molecules are approximately 80 nucleotides in length. Their secondary structure includes four short double-helical elements and three loops (D, anti-codon, and T loops). Lineage: Eukaryota; Metazoa; Chordata; Mammalia; Rodentia; Bathyergidae. The record is from Rfam by way of RNAcentral.
GGAAAUAAAGCUCAGUGGUAGAGUGCUUUCCUAGCAUGAAUGAGGCCCUGGGUUCAAUCCCCAGUAGUGCCA